CAUUUCUCCAUUAUAACAUCAUGAAUUUUAUUUAUUUUCAUCUUGAAGAACAUAUCUCAAUUCAGGAUUGCAAAAAAAAAAUGAUUACAUUCUAGAUGCAACAAACUAACAAUUAAUACAGAAAUUAUUUUCUUUUUUCAACUGAAUCUUACAAUUUCAAGACAUUGAUAUAACCUUUGUUACCUUUCAGUGGAUUUAUCGCCCCAGAGUAUAUGACAAAAGGUACAUUCUCAGUAAAGAGUAAAGACCGACACCGACGUGCAUAGCUUCGGGGUCAUGGUACUUGAAAUUAUCAGUGGGAAAAGAUGGACUCGGUCGAUUCAGGAAACUAAUUACCGGGAUCUACUAACCUGGUUAAACACAGCACGUGUGUUAUCUUGUUCCCCAGGCCUUCAAUAGGACACCGUACGGCGCCAAGCUGGUGCAGAGGCUCAAGGGUUUCUUGCCUCCAUCGCUGCACGGCAUCUCUUUCUGCAGCAGGGCUCUGCCGAAGUGCCUCUCAUUCCCAGCGAGGAGGAGAACGCUGUCACAGCAGAGGGAGAUGAGGAGGUGCGUUCGGGUGGCGCUGCUGUAGUGCUGUGCAUCCUGGAGAAGCCGGAGCGCCGGCCGGAGAUGCUGGAGGUCACGCGGAUGCUGAGCCCCCGGAAGGCUAGGGUGCCGUUCCCACGGCGGCCAGGCUAUGCCCGGGAGGGCCCGAUAUACGCCGGCGAUAGGAGCACCACCCCUUGAGGCUUUGUUUAGACAAACUCAUCAUCGCCUUCCAAUUCCUGAUGGGGGUGGUGCGUGUCGGCCUGUCGGUUCGCCGAACCGGCCCACGAAAAUGACCCUAAUGGGCUCCUUUUGGGAACCAUGAACUCAGCCUGGAUAAUCGGAUCGGAUUCACUGCAACCUUAAGGUCGAGUGGGUCGACCCACCGCUCGCGACUCCCUUCCGGUGCACACGCAUCCGCAGUUCCUCUCGCAGAUCCUGCAGACGCAUCCGCACCUGUUGCCCGCCGCUGCCGAGCAACAGCUGGAGCAGCUCCAUACGGAAAAGGAAUGGAGCUGCGACGCGGCCGCCGUCUCGAUCUGCGACGCGGCCAACUGCGGCAGGGGCAGCUGCACCGAGCUGCCGAAGCUGAUCCCCGACGUGCCCAACUACGAGUGCCACUUCGACCCCGGCUGGUCCCAGGCCUGGGAGGCCAUCCCCUUCUCGCCCAUCCCCAACGAUAAUGGAGGUGCCACAUGGAGUUGGAAAAGCAAAGUCAAGUAGUGGUAGAAAGUGGAAGAGAACUCCUCAGCCAACCGGUACUUGAAGGGGUAGACCUCAAUACCAAGGCUCCGGAAGUUGAACAAGUUCACUCAUUCGAAGAGAUGCAAGGUUAGGAAAAAUAUAAUAAAUAUGGCCCGUCAGCUUAGAUCAACUGUCAUGUCUCCUGAAGGAGUUUCUUUGGAUAACUGAUCGAUCAGUCAAGAAGUGUCUAGGAAAGAGUUAACCCGGAUGAUCUCGCUUCACGGGCUACCACUAUGGAAGCACUGAUAUGCUUGCAAGAUUGGAUGCCAGCCUUGUAUCUUGUGCUCCCUCUCCCGCCAUCACUAGCGACAUCUUUCAGGAGCAUGAAGUGAAGCUGAAGCUGAUUAUUGUUGUUGCGCAGGGUGCUAGCAGCCUUGAAGAUCAUCAACCAGCAACAAUAGGGUCAAAUGGGAAGUUUGCUGACUUCAGUAGCAUUGUUAUUCGGAUGGUUUUCCAAGAAUUAGGAAUGGACUUUAACUUUGAUGCAUGGUAGUCUCUUCAGAUUGUUUAGCUAGCUAAAACAUGUGUGCAGGAACAGCAGUCAGUAGCAUAUAGAAUUUCUAAACUACAUAAUAGUCGUUGUUAAUGUAAUAUCUUCCUGCUGCCGUAAUAUGAGUAAA
Panicum hallii is the source of this 1892-nucleotide long non-coding RNA. RefSeq lists it as uncharacterized. The transcript has 4 exons. The record is from RefSeq and is a predicted model, not a curated record. NCBI's taxonomy places the organism in Eukaryota, Viridiplantae, Streptophyta, Magnoliopsida, Poales, Poaceae.